This 437-nucleotide ribosomal RNA is filed under the name uncultured bacterium. RNAcentral's name for it is "partial 16S ribosomal RNA". It matches the Rfam family "Bacterial small subunit ribosomal RNA", at positions 29 to 507 of the family's 1533-position model. The record is from RNAcentral.
AGCGAACGCUGGCGGCAGGCUUAACACAUGCAAGUCGAGCGGGCACCUUUCGGGGUGUCAGCGGCGGACGGGUGAGUAACGCGUGGGAACGUGCCCUCUGGUUCGGAAUAACUCAGGGAAACUUGAGCUAAUACCGGAUACGCCCUUUUGGGGAAAGGCUUGCUGCCGGAGGACCGGCCCGCGUCUGAUUAGCUAGUUGGUGAGGUAACGGCUCACCAAUGCGACGAUCAGUAGCUGGUCUGAGAGGAUGACCAGCCACACUGGGACUGGGACACGGCCCAGACUCCUACGGGAGGCAGCAGUGGGGAAUAUUGGACAAUGGGCGCAAGCCUGAUCCAGCCAUGCCGCGUGAGUGAUGAAGGCCUUAGGGUUGUAAAGCUCCUUUAUCCGGGACGAUAAUGACGGUACCGGAGGAAUAAGCCCCGGCUAACUUCGUG